UUUCCGUAGGUGAACCUGCGGAAGGAUCAUUACCGAGUGAGGGCCCUCUGGGUCCAACCUCCCACCCGUGUUUAUCGUACCUUGCUGCUUCGGCGGGCCCGCCUCACGGCCGCCGGGGGGCACCCGCCCCCGGGCCCGCGCCCGCCGAAGACACCAUUGAACGCUGUCUGAAGAUUGCAGUCUGAGCAUCUUAGCUAAAUCAGUUAAAACUUUCAACAACGGAUCUCUUGGUUCCG
RNAcentral lists this unclassified non-coding RNA (236 nucleotides) under plant metagenome. RNAcentral's name for it is "partial contains small subunit ribosomal RNA, internal transcribed spacer 1, and 5.8S ribosomal RNA". The record is from RNAcentral.